RNAcentral lists this ribosomal RNA (395 nucleotides) under uncultured bacterium. RNAcentral's name for it is "partial 16S ribosomal RNA". It matches the Rfam family "Bacterial small subunit ribosomal RNA", at positions 523 to 918 of the family's 1533-position model. The record is from RNAcentral.
AUACGUAGGGUGCAAGCGUUAAUCGGAAUUACUGGGCGUAAAGCGUGCGCAGGCGGUUUUGUAAGACAGUGGUGAAAUCCCCGGGCUCAACCUGGGUACUGCCAUUGUGACUGCAAGGCUGGAGUGCGGCAGAGGGGGAUGGAAUUCCGCGUGUAGCAGUGAAAUGCGUAGAUAUGCGGAGGAACACCGAUGGCGAAGGCAAUCCCCUGGGCCUGCACUGACGCUCAUGCACGAAAGCGUGGGGAGCAAACAGGAUUAGAUACCCUGGUAGUCCACGCCCUAAACGAUGUCAACUGGUUGUUGGGGAUUUAUUGACUCAGUAACGAAGCUAACGCGUGAAGUUGACCGCCUGGGGAGUACGGCCGCAAGGUUGAAACUCAAAUGAAUUGGCGGGG